GCCGUCUUGUCCCUCGGCGCCAUAUGGAAUAAUUAAGGGUAGCAAGUGGUGGUUCCUAUUUUGUAAAGGGAAAAUAAAAUAAGAGGGGAGCUGAUAGCUUGGAAAGGAGAAGAAAAGGGUGGUUUUAUAUAGAGUGGGAGGUGGAUAGGGGAGAGGAAUCGGCGAGGAAUUGAAGGUGGGGGCACACAGUCAACCUGUGAUUUGACUGAGAGGGGCGGCUGGCGAUGGAGGAUUACGUGGCAUGUGGGAUGUCGAGAGAGCAAAGGGUAUGAAGGGUAUAUUUGGGAGAAAAUGGAGCGUAUAUCAUCCAACGGCUGUAAGCUUACAGUGAUUGAGUGCGGUCGGGUUCUCUCGCUCUCACACGCUCUCUUUAGAGCGUGCAGAAAAAAUAAAUGGGUAAUUAUUAAGGGGCGCGUGAGGGCGGCGAUGAAGGAAGCGAAGGUGGUAAUAAGGAGGUUGAAC
Molecule: unclassified non-coding RNA, 462 nt
Filed under: Hevea brasiliensis (rubber tree)
Lineage: Eukaryota; Viridiplantae; Streptophyta; Magnoliopsida; Malpighiales; Euphorbiaceae
Source: RNAcentral